UACGUAGGCAGCAAGCGUUGUUCGGAAUUACUGGGCGGAAAGAGCGCGCAGGCGGUCGUACAAGUCGCGUGUGAAAGCCCCCGGCUCAACUGGGGAGGGUCACGCGAUACUGUUCGACUCGAAGGCAGGAGAGGGAAGUGGAAUUCCCGGUGUAGUGGUGAAAUGCGUAGAUAUCGGGAGGAACACCAGUGGCGAAGGCGACUUCCUGGCCUGUUCUUGACGCUGAGGCGCGAAAGCUAGGGUAGCAAACGGG
This 253-nucleotide ribosomal RNA is filed under the name uncultured bacterium. RNAcentral's name for it is "partial 16S ribosomal RNA". It matches the Rfam family "Bacterial small subunit ribosomal RNA", at positions 524 to 776 of the family's 1533-position model. The record is from RNAcentral.